CCCGCCCACCCCCACACACAGAGCGCCGUUGAACACCACAACCCCCGCCCCUAGCCAACCACCCGGUUCUCCCUCCCCCCAGCUCUGCUCGUAGUGCUGGGCGGGGAGGAGUCCUGGGCGGAGCAGGAGAAGCCGGGGCUGCCAGCGCCGCCGCCUCUGCAACGGGGACCCAGGAGCCGAGCCCAGGACGAGGGGUCCCUCGUGCCCGCAGCGUCCAUCGGCAGCGCGGAGCCGAGGUGGAGCUGGAGCCUUGGCCGCGGGGCUGGCCCCUCCCUGCCCGGUGCGGGGGGUAGCACCGGGAUGAAGAGACGCACCGCCACCUGCUGGACUCUCCUCCUGCUGGCUGCCUUCUUCUGCGACAGCGUCACCUGCAAGGGUGGGCGGGGCGGAGCGCGGGGGGCGGCCCGUGGCCGGGGCAUGGCCCGCAGCCGGGCCAAGGCUGCCCCUCGCUACGGCUCCUCGGGAGCGGGGCUGCGGGUGGCGGCAGCGGCGGCGGCGGGUGCGGCGGCAGGCGUGGCGGCAGGAGCGGCCCACAGGAGGAUGAGGAUCUCCGGACAGCUUGGUCCAGAUGACGGCUCUGAGUUCCAGGAAGGCAACAGGACGGGCAGCAGCGUGUACAGCUACCGGUCGUGGACCUCGGCUGCCCGGGCCCAGGACACGGCGCACCUUGCCAUCUCCCUCUGCCUGGUGACUGGCUUCUUCCAGCUCCUUCCCCUGUAAGGACCCAUGGUGCCCGACCCACCCUCCGUGUGUCGGAGCCUGCAGAGCGCCACCUGCUGGGCCCGGGCAGCACCAGCCCCAUCCAGCUGCAUCUGCCCCAGCCCCCUGCAGGCCAAGUGGCUCUCCUGCCUGCCGCGGGGCUGGAGCAGCCUGCACUGCCCAACGGGCUGGAGCUGGAGCAGCAGCCAGCGAGGCAACUGGGGCAGUGCCCCAGGGCCUGAUCCCACUGGGGCUUUGCUCUUGGCUGUGGUGAGGGCAGGUGGUGCAGCCCGAGGCCCCCAGCAGGGGGACCUGGAGCAGCUGCUGUGGGUGGUGUGAGGUUGCCGGGCACUGCCAUCACUGCAGCUUGUGACGUCCCCACUCAUGCUGAUUGACAUGGACAUUUCCCAAAGCACCAGCCCUGUCAGCCUGUGCCACGAGGGGCAGAGUCUUGGCCCACAGGGUGGGGUGGGGCCAGGGCCCGCAGGAUAAGGCAGAGCAUGAGGGGCGGAGCCUGGGUCAACAGGCUGGGGUAGGGCCAUGGGUGCCAGUUCCCUGCCUUGGGGCCCCACUCUCCUGCCGAACUGGGGUAACAUGGAAGGGAGGCCGGAGCGGCCCUGUGUGUCCUGUGGGGGCUGUGGUGAAGGGCGGCUGGGGUGGAGCUGCAUGGUGAGGGAAGCAGCUCCACUCUGAUAUCAGUGCCAAUGUGGAGCAGGAUCUCCUGGGGGAGGAAGGGGUGUGGGGAUCUGGGACUCUGGGCCAGCCUGUCCAAGCAUGUGAGGGGUCGGAGCUGGGUGUGAUGCGGGAGUCCACCUCCUCCUGGCUUGAACCCCAGCCGCUGGCACUGACUCAGGCUGGUGAGGAUGGUGCCGGUUGAUUCCACAGAUGGAGGCAACGAUUAGAGCCAGCUGCUCCCAAACCGGAGAUGAGUCCCCUGGCUCCUUUACGCCCAAGGGCCUCCUUGCCCAGCCGCCGCUUCCUCAGCACUCCCAGAACACCUCCGCCCUCCCCAGACUGCCGGACACUGGCUGAAGGGGUCUGAGCCCCACUGAUCUCAGCAGCGCCCACCAGGAUGGACUGGCUCCUGCGAACUCACUGCCCAAAUGGGGCCCGUCGAGCCAGGCUGCUUGGGGAGAAGCCUGAACAGCACUACCAGCCGUAGCCCUGCCUUGGGAGCUGCUCAGCUGCAGGUUGCCCUGACUUACGCCCUGGCUGAGCUGUGCAGCCAGGCAGAGCUGUACUGUGUUUCUGGCCCAGCCGAGCCACCUCCCAGCAAAUAUUUCAGCUGCUUUGGAUAGGGCUGUGGAGCGGGUGCCCAUUGCGGUGCAGUGCCACCAUGGGGAAGGGUGGGCUCAGGUUUGCACAUACAGCAGAAGGUCAGUCUCUUGGUUUUGCAUGAAAACCACGGUGCCUCAGCCCCAAAACCUCUGUGCCUAAUCACAGCACAGCAUGGGCACAUCGGAGGUGUUCCAGGAAAAUCGAUCCGUUGACUUUCCAACUGCUGAUCAGUCAGAAAUUGGCCCCAGAAUGAGUUCCCACUCUGAAUGCCCUGAUUUUGCAGGCCCCUCUAGCUUGAGAACGACACAGUGUAGGAAGUCCAGAAGGCGGGUGGCAGAGCGAUCAGGCAGAGGGAGGGGAGCGGUCUUUGCGCUCAGCCUUCAUUUGUUAAUUUACAAAAGGGGAUUAGAGGGUUGGGUCACAGUGGUUGAUUUGUCUUGUCCCGGUUAGCCGGAGGGGCCGUGGUUUAGUGUCCUGAUUCGUGGGGGGAGGCCAUGGUGCAGGAGAGGGGACGGAGGGGUCGGGACAAAGCCGGUGCACCAUCUCAUCCCCUGCAGAGGAGGUUGCCCUUGGGGCUCUGGGGAAGUGAAGACCCUGUAUCCUCUGGAGCAGGGGAGGGGGUUUAGGGGAAUGUCCCCCCAUUCAGGCUGGGUUAGUGCUGGGGCCAGCCCCAGCUGAAGAAAAUGCAAAGAUUUCAAGCCAAACGUGGGCAAUGCACAGGAAUGCUGGUCUUCACCCGGCCCUCUGGGACACAGGGUAGACACCUGCUUCCUUUGCAGCCACCCGCUCAGCAGGCCUCCUGGUGCGCUGCCAGGCUGCCAGUGCCCCCCACCCUGUAGCCUUGGGGAAGGUGCAGUGAGCUGAGAGGCAGGAACUCAUGAGCUCAGUGCUCCUUUCUCCUGCCUGUGGUCAUAUUGCCGUGCACUCCCCAGAGCCUAUUCUCCCCCCGCCCCCACCUUGCACUCCAAGCCCAGGAGGCAGUCAAGUAGUAACCCUACCCCCUCUUACUAUGGUAACCGAUGCACAAGGUCACUUCAAGCAAAUUGGGACUAACACCCCAGCCUCUGGCAUGACCGACCCAAACUCAGCCACGCUGUCUGGCAGAGUGAAUGUGCCAAAUAUACGUGCUUUGGCUACCCUAUCCCUCACCAUGAGACGACACUCCCCUCCAAGGGCAGGGAGAGGACCCAGGAGUCCUGUGUCCCGUAUUCCCACGCUGUCUAGCAAAUGGUCAAGUGUACACCCCUUCCCCCUCGAGUGGCUAAUCCCCAUAGGAAAGCCAGUGGCACUGGCAGAGGUGUGUGCUAGGUCUCCAACAGGCCAGAGCUCAACCCUGCUGGCUGCCACAGCAGCGAUGGUUUCCAGCCUGUUCAGUGCUGUAAAUGGCAGAGCCCCAUGCAACAUGCUGCAGGUACCGCCAAUACAGUCACGCGUCCCAUGGUGGCAGGUUAGGGAUGAGCUUAUUGAGCCUUGGCCAGCAGCUGAGCCGCCUGCUGAGCCACUAGUAGGUUUGGGAAGCUGCUACAGCUGGAAACUCCUCUGGUACCAGCCAGCGUGUUUGCCAGUGAGCUCUGGGCACCGGCUGAGGGAGAAACUGGGCUCAAGUGACCGAGGAGCUGAUUAGGGAAGUGCCCAUGGGAGGGGAGGAAACUGCCCCCAGUUCCACUUGGGGGUAAAGAGGGCAGGAAACAGGCAGAUCCACGUGGGGAUCCAGAUUGGUUGGAAGCCAGCUCCAGAGUUACAGGCCCUGCUCUGGCUCCAGCUCGCAGCCUGGGGGCCUUUCCCAGCACAGCCAGGAGAGUUAAUACAGUCUCAGUCCUUGCAGCUUUUCCACAGGGGGUGGGGGGAAGAGUGCUCUCCCCAACAUCUGGGAGGCUCCACCCUGGAGAGGGGCAGAUCCCCCUGCUCUGCACAGGCCAGGGGAGGGGGCUCCAUGCUUCCCCCCCACCAGGCUCACCCUCAGCUGUCCAUCAAACAGCUUGGCCUCCCCACAUGCCGUCGGGUGUGCUGCCUGGCAUUGGCACAGAUGCACAAGCUCUGGCCCCUGAGGGGCCCUGGGAGCGGGCUGUUCAUGGAAUCACUGCAUUUGGGGCACAGGGGUUCUGGGCUUUUUAAAAAAAAUGCCCUCUACAUUUUGGACCAAACUCCCCCACCACCCCCACUUAACCCACCAGCAGCCAGAGGCAGGAUGCAGGAGGUAGAUUGGCACUAAGCUAUUCCUCAGUGCCCUAGGACUGGUGGGAAUCCCCCCAGGCCCUGCCUGGCAGGCUGGGCUUUGGGCACUGUCUAGACAGCCCCUGCGAGCGGCCAGCUCGCUGUAUGUGCAUGUGAACAGUGUAGUUAUGACACCCCUUCCUCUCCAUGCAGAGCCCUGCCCCAGCCCCUUUGCCAGGCCUGAUGCCAGCCCACCCAGCAAGCAGGGGGCCACACGUUCUUGCACUCCCCUGUUUUUAAUGUUCCUUGUUUGUAAUGGUUUUAUACGUGUGUUCACAGUGAUGUGGAAAUAAAGUCUAGGAGGAGAGUCUGACUCACUGAACUGGGGAGGGACAUGCCAGAGUGGCACCUGCUCAUCAGAGGGAGGACAGGGGCAUCUUGCACACACCCCCCUCUUCCAGCCCUGGGGCACAAGGGCUGCCCCCCUUGCACUUGGCAUGGGACCUUCCCCUGAAGUGCUGCAGGCUUCUCAUCCCAUCACCCUCCA
Molecule: non-coding RNA, 4678 nt
Organism: Chrysemys picta bellii (western painted turtle)
Lineage: Eukaryota; Metazoa; Chordata; Testudines; Emydidae
Source: RefSeq, a predicted model, not a curated record